This 1311-nucleotide long non-coding RNA is filed under the name Spirodela polyrhiza (greater duckweed). Its description in RNAcentral is "long non-coding RNA (SPOL_LNC001760)". Lineage: Eukaryota; Viridiplantae; Streptophyta; Magnoliopsida; Alismatales; Araceae. The record is from RNAcentral.
AGAGAGAGAGAGCGAGUGAGAGAGAAGCGGUGGAUGGGGUUGGAGAUGGAGGCUGGCGGAUAGGGUUUGGUUCGUUCGACGGCAUAUCCUGAGGUUUCUCCUCCGCCCUUUUCUGCUGAAAUCUCCGGUUUGGGGUCUCUUUUCUGAACGCUUCUGCUGGGAUUCAUCGCGGGGCUCUGUUAUUCCCGACGUGAGGUAUAUUGUUUUUUCGGUUUGGUUUGAUGUAUUGAUCUUGUUCGUCUUCUCCUUCUUUUUAUCUCUCUCUCCGUCCCUCCCUCUCGCUGUGCCUCUGAUCUUGAGUCCGACUUCUUUAGGAUUUGAUUGUUUUUUCAGUUAACUGCUUGUGGUAGUUUCUAGAAAAAAAAUUGGGAUCACAAGGAAAAUUUUCGCGCUCUUCAUGAGGUGGUGUUCGUUCACUCCGUUCCUGAUUUCUUACCGUGAAUUUGGUCCUCUGUCUUCUAUAUUGUUUAAUAAUUUCAAUUUUAAAAUACUUUUUGAUUUCAUCAUAUGAUAUCCUAUGGUUAUAUUAAUAUUAAUCUCUAUUAGAUUUCUAGAAAUGGAUGCAUGAAGAAGAGAUUCAACUGCAUCAAUCAGAAAAAAAAAACGCCGAUGAUUUAUGUUCCUUUUCCAUGCCUCAUAUAAAAAGAUAAAUUAUUCUUGAUAAACCGAAUGAAAUAAUUAAACAUCACACUUAAGACAAUUCGGAAAAGAAAUGGAGGUUUCAUUUCAGGUAAUCUGUAUAAUAUUCAAGCGAUUUAACUUCUGUUUUUGGUGGAGAGUGUGGCUGUGCCAUGUUGAUGAAAAUACUUGCAGAACUUUUUUUCUUUUUAUUUUCUUCGGAACUCGAACGACUGUCAAUCUCCAUGUUUUCCGUAAAAGAUGCAGAAAUUCGAGUUAUUUUUGAAUUAGGAGAACGUUGACUGUGUGAACAUUCAACAGCCCUCACAUAUUCAUUCAUAAUUCACUGAAGAACUAUUUCAUUGACCUUAUUUGAUAUAUCACGGCUGGAGUUUGACUAUCACUGUCCCCAUCUUCCGCAGCUCUCUGAGCAGAGACUCUUUGUCCUGUAUGUCAGGGAAUGCAGAAAGAUGUGCGUCGAUUCUGAGGCUCCCCUCUCCUGCGGAAUCGAACCACUUGAGACGCUGUUCUCCAAUAUUUAUAGUCUCAGAUCCAUAACCGCAGCAGGUCAACGGCCGGGCAAUGGGCCUUUGACUUCGAGGGGGGCGGCAGCGUCAACCUGUGACCAUACCGAAGGAGGCUGACCUCUGCCGAUCGAAAAACACUGAAGAAAAUUUCAAUUUCCUCUGGUGG